Molecule: non-coding RNA, 4702 nt
Organism: Cinara cedri
Lineage: Eukaryota; Metazoa; Arthropoda; Insecta; Hemiptera; Aphididae
Source: the annotation of a GenBank genome assembly
AGACAUCGGUAUCCUGACAUUCUGUAUAUUUUAAUUCGUGGCUAUGGUACAUUCACUUUACCUAGAUCUGUUCAAGUCUAUUCAGUAUUUCGACUGACAGUAAAAGUUCAGAAAGUUUAUUAUCGACAAAUUUUAUUUGCGAUUCAAAUAAUUAAACUCUUAGUAAAGUUAUAAAAGUAUUUUAUUUUAAUUCUUGAAAUAUGGUGAGUAGAACUUGGUAAUUAUUAAUAUAUUUCAUUAAUAAUUACAUUAUAAUAUUGUUAAUCUACCUAAUGAUAUGUAUUUUAUAUAAAUUAAGGAAAAUUCUAUCCCAAUUGAAAUCCAUGCUCAAAAAUUGAGUGAAUGGUUAAUGAGUAGAAAACACUGUAAGAAAGAUUGGCAUUCACAUAUACAAUUAAUUAGAGAAAAAAUCAACACAGCUAUACAAGACAUGCCCGAAAAUAAGGAAAUCGUUCAACUGUUGUCUGGAACUUGUAUGUAUUAAAAACCUUAUAUUUUUAUUAAUAUUUUCCAUUGAUUUUUUUUUUUUUUUGUAUUAGAUAUUAAUUAUUUCUAUUGCAAACGUAUAAUUGAAAUAUUAAAAGAAACCGAAGCGAACACAAAAAAUUUAUUUGGAUCAUAUGGUUCACAGAGAAUGAAGGAUUGGUUAGAAAUCGAAAAACUUUACUUAAAAGACAAUGUAUAUCUGGCGGAAGCUUGUGAUCUUCUUGUACAAAACAUCAAGUACCAUAUACCCGCAAUCAAGAAGCAAAUAACUAAAACACAGUCUGGUCAAUCAGUAAGACAAUUAUAAAUAAUAUAAAAUCCUUUUAGUGAUAUUUUUAAUUUUUAUUUAAUUUGUAUUGUAUAGGAUUGUGAUAAAAAAAUUGAAGAUUACACUAAAUCUAUUCAAACAUCACGUAAAGAUCUGGAAUCACUACAAAAACAGUUUUCCAUUUCUGGGGACAGUAACAGUUUUAAACGUACACUUAUUGAAAGAAUUUGUGAACUUAAAAAAGUUUACGAAGAUGUUAUGGAACAUGUAAAAAUUCUUAAGAAAGCAAAUACUUAUUUUUCUUCUUUUAUCACAGAUAUUCUGGGUUUAAAUAUUAACCUUACUAUGCUUCAAUAUAUAUUAAGUAAUAAUUAUUGUCCUUAAAAAUAUUAUUUUCAUCCAUAUUGUUUAAAAUAGCAGACUAAUACUUUCAGAUAAUGGCAACACUACCUAUUAUGAAUACCUAUAUGGGGAGAAACCAAGUCGAAUAGAAGAACCCGUAAUUUCAAUUGAAGAAAAUAAUAAAGUAUGUUUAUUUAUAGAUACAAAUUGAGUGUCGGUUAAAAGACAUUUUAUUUAUUGUAGGAUACAAUUGAUGAUGAAGAAAUUGACUGGGGUGAUCUGGAUAAUCCAUCUGAAGUGUGUAAAUUAUAAAUUAAAAUUACAUUAUACAACUGAAUGUGAUAUUGCAUUAUUAAAAAAAAAAAAUAAUAUUUUAAACUAUAAAAUAUCCUCAUUGUAUGCAGGGUAUUGACUAUGGUAUUACUUUGGAAGAAAGUGGAAUAGUUGUUGAAAGUCUACAAACUGAUGAAAGUAUUGCCAGGGGUAACGAAGCUUUGACUUUAUUGGAUAAUUUAAAAACAAGAAGCGAGUUAAUGAACGAUAUUUUAGAAGUGAGAUACUAUAGUAAAUUUGUGUUGUACUGUAGAAUUAUUUAUCAAUAUAUUAUCAAAUUUUCAAUACAAGCCAUAAUAUAUUUAUAUAUAUCAUAUUUAUUAUUGUUUUUUUUUUUAGUUAGAAUCAUUUUUAAAUAUGCGGUUGCUAGGAUUGUCAAAUUCUACAUUAUCUGUCCAAUCUGGAGUUGAAAUAAAUGAAUCCAAACCAGAGAUAGUAUCCAUGUUAGAUGUUAUAAAAGUAAUCAAGCAAAAGCUAAAUGAUCCAGUUGUACAACAUUUACAGCAAAUUAAACAUUCACAGAGGUAAAAAAUCAAAAGGUUUUAAUGAUUUUAGUUGUAUAACACAGAACGUUAAUAUUUUUUCAUUUUUUUUUUAAAACAAAAAUAAUCAGAUAUUUAAAUAAGCUGGAGGCAACAUUUUUUCAAAAAGUCAAUAAUAUAGAGAAAAUGAUCAAUUCUCAGAUAGCUGUAAGACACCGAAAAAAGGAAUUAGCCGAUGAAUAUGACCAACUAGUUCCUAAGUUAAAAUUGAUACAACAAAAAAACAAGCAAUUAAUAACAGAAGUGAGUAUUUUUAUUUUCUGUUAACGAUUUUUACAAAAAAUCGUAUUUCGAUAUAUUCUAGUAGUAACAUUUGUCUAACUGGUGAAUUAGGGAGAUAAUUGGUUAUUUUUUUUUGUAGUUUUCUUAAUAAUUAGGAAAACCUGAUGCAUGAAAUCUUCUCCGAAUAUUUAAAUUAGCCUUUUAUAGAUAUAAUAAAGUGUUCAAAACAUUCAUAUUCAUUUGAAAUUGUUUUGUUUUUAUAUGUGGAUAAAAUUGUUUUGACCCAGCAAAAGUGCUCGAAAAUUUAACAUGAGUCAUUUGUCAUAAAUUAUUUAUUAGUGGUUUUAAAAAAACGGUCAUAUAGUUAUUUUUGUUAUAAGUUAUUAAAGUUCAAAUUUUAAUCAACAUUGUACAAAUACAGAAUUUUAAAUACAUUUUCAACUUUUCACCUAGAGCUGCAUCCAGUCUACAAGAUACAUUUUUGACAAAAUGUUUCUGACAAAAUUAUCGGAAAAAAACAAAUUGUAAAUUAAAAACAUAUGCAUCCAGACCAACCUAUAAACAUUUAUUCAUUACCAAUGUUUAAUGAGUUUUUUUAUCCUUCAAAAACAUCAAGGACUUGAAGGAAAACCAUUUUGGUUCUGCAACUUCUUUAGUUCCAGUAGUCUUUUUGCAUUACAGUAAAAUUAGCCAACGACAGUUUUCAUUUUUUUUUUUUUUCAAUUUCUACAUUAUUAAUAUUGAUAAUUCUUAAAAUUUCACACAAAAUGUAAUUUUUUUAAAUUUAUUUCAGAUUCUGAGUGGUAUGAGGAAUGUAUUGUUUCUACAAUAAUGUUUAUUUUUUCAUCUGAACAACUUUUCUAGCAAAAAUUUUGCUCCAAUUUAUAAUAAUAGCACUUUUUCUGAAUGGAAACUUGACUGGGGUGGUACUUUAGGGAGGUCAGUUUUUUGAUUUUUUGACAGAAAAAUAGGUACAAUAUAAAACAAAUAUUAUUAAAGAAAAUGUAAUAUGCAAUACGUAUAUGUAAUUAUUUUACCAUAAUAAUAUGAUAUAUAAAUUGUUAACAAAGCAAUAAUAUGAAUCAAAGUCGGCUCAGAAUCUUUUUUUCUUUAUCAAAGGUUUAUCGUUGCAUACAAAAAUACAUUACAUUUCCCCUCUACUACCUUUUCAACUACUCACUUAUAACAGUGGCUGCACCUGUCCCCAUUAUCUUAGGACAGCUUUUUACUAUUUAACUGCAUUUUUUCCUGUAAUAUUGGCCUUUCAUAAUAUAAAUCAAUUAACUGACAAGUUUUAUCCCUAGUUAACUCCAUUGUGUUUUUUGUAGAAAGGUACAAAAUAUAUAUAUUAAAAUAUUUAAAGUGCAUACAAUUUAUUUAUUUGUAUAUCAUUAGUUUAUGUUAAAACUAAUUGUCUAACUGGACGUUUGUACUGUGUACACAAAAUAAUACAAUUUCAUAAAAAUAUCAAAAUGUUAGUAAUGAUGAUAAAAGUUGACUAGUCUGGACAUGGUGAUACAUCGUCAACGACAAUAUUAAUAAACAUUAUUUGAAAUUUAUCUCUAUUUUUUCUAAUCAUUAUGAAAUCAUUUAAGCUUUAUUUAAAAAUCAUUUUUAAUUUUUUACCUCUACUCCAUAUACUCCAUAAGUGCAUACUUUUGAUUUUGCAAUAGGAACCCUCCCUUUUUAAACACUAAUUUGAAUAUGGAGAAUAUUUUCUAGAAAUGAUGAUAUACAUCACAUUAAUAUCAGAUUUACUAUUUAUCAGAUAUAACAAUUUAAAGUUUAUAUUAAUCAAUAUUAAUCCACCUUAAUAUAUGAAUAAUGGUUAUCUACAAAUUGUUGACCUUAUCUUCUAAGAUUGUGUAACCACAGAAUAAAAAUAAAGUUGAUAACCAAUAUAUUUCGUUUAAUCAACUAUCAAAGUUAUAUAAUUAAAAAAGAGCCAAUACUUGGGACAGGUAAGACUGUUCUAAUUGGGAUGGUAAGAUAGUUAUUUUCUAUUUUGUAUCAAUAUAUUGACUAAAGUAAUAUAAUGUAUAUAAUAUUUUCAGAUUGAACUUGAUAUAUCAAAGAAAUAUAAAGGCCGUCCUGUGUAUAUAAUUGGAACAUCAAUAUUUGGGUUUUAAAUACUAAAUAUAAUGUUACACAAAUAGUUUUAUAAAUAUAUAAAACGAAAUAUGAUUUUGUGUGGUUUACUAAUAAAAUAGUAUAAGUAAAUAUUACAUACACAUUUAUUUGGAUAUUAUUUUUUUUUUUAUUGUUCAUAAUAAAUGUUUUUUUUUUUUUGUUUUACAUGCCAAUUACAUUUUUUUUUUUCAAUAUUAUAUUUAGAAACAUUGAAUAAAUUUAUAAAUUCUAUUUACUAAAAUAAACAAGAGAAACAAAAUUGAUGCUCACAUAUAUUUAAUACACAGUAUAAAAACAAAAUAUUGUGAACAGUAUACAUCUUGCUGUUCAGACAUGUAUUUAAGAAAUAAAGAAGUCCACUUCAACGCUUCAUGAUCCU